CCACGGCUCCACCCCUUCCGUCCCGUCCCCUGGUUGCCGUGGUUACUUCUGUUUCUCUAGUCCUGGCUAGUAUUUGCAACCAUUACAGAUCACUAAUAAGAAAAGUUGAACUUUAAGCAUCAGCUCUGUCGAGUGCUGGGCUAGGAGUUGGGCUACAGCCCUUUGGGACACACCCCGGCGCCCAGGAACAGGCUAGAAAACUCCGACAUAAAUGGUCGUUCAUCCUUGGCUCUGGGACAGGAGAUCUUCGAGACAGUUUUGUGGGUUUUUUUUGUGUGUAGAUAGAGGCAGAGAGAGACGAAAGGGCAGAGAGAGGGGGAGACAGGAUCUGAAGCCCUACGUGCUGACAGCAAGAGAGCCGGAUGCCAGGCUGGAAACCAUGAACCAUAAGAUCAUGUCCUGACCCGAAAUUAAGAGUGUCCAAGGCCGAAUCUGGGACAAAGACAAUGCAGUAGUUCUCCAUCUGAGCAGGAAUGAGAAUCAUGGGGAGGACUGGUUUAAAACAGACUACUAGGUGGAUGGGGAGAUGGGUGAAAUAGGUGAAGGGGAUUAAAAGCACAGUUACUGUGCAGAACACUGAGUAAUGUGGAGAAUUGUUGAAUCACUACAUUGUACACCUGAAACUAACGUAACACUGUUAUACUGGAAUUUCAAAAAUUAAAAAAAAAAAAAAAAAGAUUGCUUGGUGUCUCUCCCAAGUUUUGAUUAUGAUUUAUGUCUCUAACAAAUGCCCAGGUGAUGUUCAUGCUGCUGGUUCGGGAUGACACUUUGAGAAGCACUAUGCUUUAUAACAAAGGUUUUUUGUUUGUUUGUUUUUUUUAAUCCAUAGUAAAACAAAAAGGGACAGAUGUGAGUGUGGAGCUAUUCUUUAGAGAAUCUCUAAUAAUAUAGAAGGGAUAAUGCAAUUAAGUAAUACAUCAUGUCAUUUCUAGUGAGGUGUUGGUUUCAAAGUUAAUAUUAAUGAAUAAUAAAACUAAAGAGAACAGCGCCUUUACAGCAAAGCUUUAUCAGGUGGUUACCACCUUAACCGGAUGAUCAAACACAGUAUCUUCAGUAGUAACAACUAAUAUUUAACUCCAAUAUGCAUACGUUGUACAAAUCACCUAUAUUCUUGGGGAAUGCAUAACCUGAAUUUAACUAUCAAAAAACAAUCAGACAAAAAAAAAAAAAUCAGACAAGAAAUCUAAAAUGAGGGACAUUCUAUAAGACAAAUGGACUAGACAGUUCAUGUCCAUGCCUUGAAAAACAAAAAGCAUGUAUAUGGAAACAAAUUAAUUUUAGUUGGAACCUAAAUUGGAAAAAAAAAGUUUGUAAAACAUUUUGGGACAACGGAGAAAAUUUGAACACACACUGCAUAUUACACAUAGAAGUUGUUAAUUGUCUUAGCAUGAUGAAGAUUGUGGUUAUUUAGGAAAAUGACUGAAUUCUUAGGAGAUGCAUGACCUAGUAUGUUAAGGGGACCUUAUCUUGACAUCUAAAAUUUACUUUGAGGGGCACCUGGAUGGCUCAGUUGGUUAAGUGUCCUACUUCAGCUCAGGUCAUGAUCUCAUGGUUUGUCAGUUCGAGCCCC
Long non-coding RNA from Felis catus (domestic cat), 1570 nucleotides. RefSeq lists it as uncharacterized. The record is from RefSeq and is a predicted model, not a curated record. The transcript is spliced from 3 exons. Lineage: Eukaryota; Metazoa; Chordata; Mammalia; Carnivora; Felidae.